This 301-nucleotide ribosomal RNA is filed under the name uncultured bacterium. Its description in RNAcentral is "partial 16S ribosomal RNA". It matches the Rfam family "Bacterial small subunit ribosomal RNA", at positions 509 to 809 of the family's 1533-position model. The record is from RNAcentral.
CAGUAGCCACGGUAAUACGGAGGGUGCAAGCGUUAAUCGGAAUUACUGGGCGUAAAGCGCACGCAGGCGGUCUGACAAGUCAGAUGUGAAAUCCCCGGGCUUAACCUGGGAACUGCAUUUGAAACUGUCAGGCUGGAGUCUUGUAGAGGGGGGUGGAAUUCCAGGUGUAGCGGUGAAAUGCGUAGAGAUCUGGAGGAAUACCGGUGGCGAAGGCGGCCCCCUGGACAAAGACUGACGCUCAGGUGCGAAAGCGUGGGGAGCAAACAGGAUUAGAUACCCGCGUAGUCCCUGUCUCUUAUGC